CAACCCUCACGGGAGCAAGCGGUCGAAGGCGAGCGCAGUGACUGGGGCGAAGUCGUAACAAGGUAGCCGUAGGGGAACCUGCCCCCCCAUCACCUCCUUUCCGGAGCGACGAGUAGCGUAGCGCCUCGUGCGAUGCACGAGCGCGAUCCACGUGAAAGUCCUCACGGUUUGUCGCCCGUCUCGACAACCGAUCUCUCGACAUCGAUUGCAGUCUUGCGGCGAGUCGCGCUCCACUGGAGCUCGGCUCGCGACGCAUCGCUGUUUGACAAUGGAUGGUUGGUGUAGAUCGUGGGAAAUGAAUCGUCACGAGACCGAUGGAGACCGAGCGCUCGAGUAUCUCGAGCGACGAUCCAACGAAACUCGAUGCGAUGCGCGUGCUGGCUUGGCUAGAUGAUCAUGUAGUCAAGCGAGAGAAGGCAUGUGGGGGAUACCUAGGCACACAGAGA
This 446-nucleotide unclassified non-coding RNA is filed under the name uncultured organism. Its description in RNAcentral is "partial contains 16S-23S ribosomal RNA intergenic spacer and 23S ribosomal RNA". The stretch from base 1 to 100 matches the Rfam family "Bacterial small subunit ribosomal RNA", at positions 1436 to 1533 of the family's 1533-position model. The record is from RNAcentral.